Molecule: ribosomal RNA, 711 nt
Filed under: Amanita jacksonii
Lineage: Eukaryota; Fungi; Basidiomycota; Agaricomycetes; Agaricales; Amanitaceae
Description: LSU rRNA
Rfam family: Eukaryotic large subunit ribosomal RNA
Source: RNAcentral
UCCCCUAGUAACUGCGAGUGAAGCGGGAAAAGCUCAAAUUUAAAAUCUGGCAGUGGUUCACUGCCCGAGUUGUAAUCUAGAGAAGUGUUGCUCACACUGGACCAUGUAUAAGUCUUCUGGAAUGAAGCGUCAUAGAGGGUGAGAAUCCCGUCUUUGACAUGGACUCCCAGUGUAUUUGUAGCAUGCUCUCAAAGAGUCGAGUUGUUUGGGAAUGCAGCUCUAAAUGGGUGGUAACCUCCAUCUAAAGCUAAAUAUUGGCGAGAGACCGAUAGUGAACAAGUACCGUGAGGGAAAGAUGAAAAGAACUUUGGAAAGAGAGUUAAAAAGUACGUGAAAUUGUUGAAAGGGAAACGCUUGAAGUCAGUCACAUUGGCCAGGGAUCAACUUGCUUAAGUGUACUUCCUGGCUGAUGGGCCAACAUCAGCUUUGACUGUCAGAGAAGGGUAGGGGGAAUGUGGCACCCUUCUUGGGUGUGUUAUAGCCCUCUGUCAUAUAUGGCGGUUGGGGCUGAGGAAUGCAGCGCGCCACAAGGCCGGGCUUCGACCACGUUCGCGCUUAGGAUGUUGGCAUAAUGGCUUUAAUCGACCCGUCUUGAAACACGGACCAAGGAGUCUAACAUGCCUGCGAGUGUUUGGGUGGAAAACCCGAGUGCAUAAUGAAAGUGAAAGUUGAGAUCCCUGUCAUGGGGUGCAUCGACGCCCGGACCUGAGC